RNAcentral lists this unclassified non-coding RNA (1078 nucleotides) under Melitaea cinxia (Glanville fritillary). RNAcentral describes it as "misc RNA ENSMCXG00005018095.1". The record is from RNAcentral. Lineage: Eukaryota; Metazoa; Arthropoda; Insecta; Lepidoptera; Nymphalidae.
UUACCCCUUCAGAUCAACUGUCUAAAUAGGCACAAAAAGGCUUACUAGUCUAAGAAAUAUAUUAUUACUAUAUCAAAUUGUAAAUAAAUUAAUGCAAUAACGCCAUCUAUCGGAACCUAAUUGCGUUAUUAGAAAACGUCUGAACGCCAUCUCUAACAAGGUCAUUCGUUCAGUAGAUUUUACUGUUCAAUUUUUUCAUUCCGGGGCUUUAAAUGAAAAUCGAUUCUUAAGGAGAAAACUCCAAAAACAGUCAAGUAAAUACGCCAUAUCAGAUAUAGCUCAAAAAGUUCGAGUCAAAUCUCAAUUAUAUUUAAAUGGGACCACAUGACAAGCACCACCUAUCGAUUAAAAAAGAAUCAUCGAUAUCGGUCCACCCAGUAAAAUAGUAAUGAGGUUAAUAUAACGUUGGUCGACGUAAAAUAGCCAAGUAAAUACCCAGUAUUAGCGAUAACUCAAAAAUUAAAAGCUCAAAUAUAUUUAUAACGAAUAAACUGCUACUCUCUACUCUAGUGGAAUAUUGUAAUUUGAUCGAUAGUGAACGAAGUAAUUUCAUAACAUUUUGAUAGAUGGCGUUGUGGCAAAGUAUUGAACAUGACCACAGUCGUCUUAACAUCGUCAUGUAAAUACGUGUCAUCAAAGAUUAUUCAAAAAUUGCUCAUUAUAUCUCAAUCAUAUUUAAAACGGACGACAUGACAAGUAUUAGCUUUUGAUUUAUACAAAAAAGAUCAAAAUCAGUGCACCCAGUAAAAAGAUAUAACGUAUAAUACAACGUAAGGUGACGAAAAUAAUGUCAAGUAAAUACGCGUUAUCAAAGAUUAAUCAAAAAGUAGUUAUCAGAUCUCGAUAAAAUUUAUAUGUGACCACAUGAUAAACAUCAGCUUUCGAUUAAAGUAAAAAUUAUCAAAAUCGAUACACCCAGUAAAAAGUUGUUGCGGAUUUUCAAGAGUUUCCCUCGAUUUCUCUGGGAUCCCAUCAUCAGAUCCUGGUUUCCUUAUCAUGGUACCAAACUAGGGAUAUCCCCUUUCCAACAAAAAAAGAAUUAUCAAAAUCGGUACACCCAGUAGAAAGUUAUGUGGUA